AAGGGAACCCCGAAGUGCCUGUAUUAUGCAGGCUGUCCAGGUGUCUAAAAAACACCUUGAAGAAAGGGCCGGGCAAGACCGGUGCCAGCCGCCGCGGUAAUACCGGCGGCUCGAGUGGUGGCCACUUUUAUUGGGCUUAAAGCGUUCGUAGCUGGGUUGUUAAGUCUCUUGGGAAAUCCGACGGCUUAACCGUCAGGCGUCUAAGGGAUACUGGCAAUCUUGGAACCGGGAGAGGUGAGGGGUACUUCGGGGGUAGGAGUGAAAUCCUGUAAUCCUCGAGGGACCACCUGUGGCGAAGGCGCCUCACCAGAACGGCUUCGACAGUGAGGGACGAAAGCUGGGGGAGCAAACCGGAUUAGAUA
This 362-nucleotide ribosomal RNA is filed under the name uncultured Methanoculleus sp. Its description in RNAcentral is "bacterial SSU rRNA". It matches the Rfam family "Archaeal small subunit ribosomal RNA", at positions 371 to 735 of the family's 1478-position model. The record is from RNAcentral. Lineage: Archaea; Methanobacteriati; Methanobacteriota; Methanomicrobia; Methanomicrobiales; Methanomicrobiaceae.